GCUGUAAUGUUCAGAAAUAUAAUUAAAAAGAUGUGGUUGGCACCCAAAGGUGGUAUGCUAAUGCUUCAGUGUCAGUAAAACCACACGAUAGACUGUAAAAAUAAAAAGAAUGAUUUCAUUAUUGGGAUCAAUUGUAAAUAAGCAGAAAAAUCUAGAAAGUGAAAGAAUACCGUGUUAUGGGCAUGCAAUAAAGACUGUCGCUGUUGAUGC
RNAcentral lists this unclassified non-coding RNA (210 nucleotides) under Hevea brasiliensis (rubber tree). The record is from RNAcentral. Lineage: Eukaryota; Viridiplantae; Streptophyta; Magnoliopsida; Malpighiales; Euphorbiaceae.